CCUACGGGCGGCAGCAGUGGGGAAUAUUGCGCAAUGGGCGAAAGCCUGACGCAGCGACGCCGCGUGAGGGAUGAAGGUCUUCGGAUCGUAAACCUCUGUCAGCAGGGAAGAACGGUCACUGUGCUAAUCAUCAGUGAAUUGACGUUACCUGCAAAGGAAGCACCGGCUAACUCCGUGCCAGCAGCCGCGGUAAUACGGAGGGUGCGAGCGUUAAUCGGAAUUACUGGGCGUAAAGCGCUCGUAGGCGGUAUGUCAAGUCAAGGGUGAAAUCCCCGCGCUCAACGUGGGAACUGCCUUUGAAACUGGCAAACUGGAGUGUGUGAGAGGAUAGUGGAAUGCCAGGUGUAGGAGUGAAAUCCGUAGAUAUCUGGAGGAACAUCAGUGGCGAAGGCGACUAUCUGGAACAUAACUGACGCUGAGGAGCGAAAGCGUGGGUAGCAAACAGGAUUAGAUACCCGGGUAGUC
This 465-nucleotide ribosomal RNA is filed under the name uncultured bacterium. RNAcentral describes it as "partial 16S ribosomal RNA". It matches the Rfam family "Bacterial small subunit ribosomal RNA", at positions 338 to 795 of the family's 1533-position model. The record is from RNAcentral.